UUUCUUUGAGUGGGAGAAGGGAGUCCAGUGGUUUGCUGAAUAAUUUCUCACUCGUCUCUGUGCGAGUAAACUUCCUUAGUAAGGUAUCGACUUACUGACCAAGAAGUCUGUGUUUUGAGCGUCAAUCACCAUGGAUGCAUCCUUUGGUCUACCUCCUCCAUCGAUCAAUUCCGAUUCUCCCCAACAAGAUGAACAGAUGGA
Molecule: unclassified non-coding RNA, 201 nt
Filed under: Hevea brasiliensis (rubber tree)
Lineage: Eukaryota; Viridiplantae; Streptophyta; Magnoliopsida; Malpighiales; Euphorbiaceae
Source: RNAcentral